AAAGAAAGCGUAAUAGCUCACUGGUCGAGUCGGCCUGCGCGGAAGAUGUAACGGGGCUAAACCAUGCACCGAAGCUGCGGCAGCGACGCUUAUGCGUUGUUGGGUAGGGGAGCGUUCUGUAAGCCUGCGAAGGUGUGCUGUGAGGCAUGCUGGAGGUAUCAGAAGUGCGAAUGCUGACAUAAGUAACGAUAAAGCGGGUGAAAAGCCCGCUCGCCG
RNAcentral lists this ribosomal RNA (216 nucleotides) under Escherichia coli. Its description in RNAcentral is "partial 23S ribosomal RNA". It matches the Rfam family "Bacterial large subunit ribosomal RNA", at positions 1125 to 1339 of the family's 2925-position model. Lineage: Bacteria; Pseudomonadati; Pseudomonadota; Gammaproteobacteria; Enterobacterales; Enterobacteriaceae. The record is from RNAcentral.